This 253-nucleotide ribosomal RNA is filed under the name uncultured bacterium. RNAcentral describes it as "partial 16S ribosomal RNA". It matches the Rfam family "Bacterial small subunit ribosomal RNA", at positions 524 to 776 of the family's 1533-position model. The record is from RNAcentral.
UACGUAGGGGGCAAGCGUUGUCCGGAUUUAUUGGGCGUAAAGAGCGUGUAGGCGGCCAAGUAAGUCUGCUGUGAAAACUCGAGGCUUAACCUCGAGCUGUCGGCGGAAACUAUUUGGCUAGAGUCCGGAAGAGGAGAAUGGAAUUCCCGGUGUAGCGGUGAAAUGCGCAGAUAUCGGGAAGAACACCCGUGGCGAAGGCGGUUCUCUGGGCCUUACCUGACGCUGAGGCGCGAAAGCUAGGGGAGCGAACAGG